RNAcentral lists this ribosomal RNA (460 nucleotides) under uncultured bacterium. RNAcentral describes it as "partial 16S ribosomal RNA". It matches the Rfam family "Bacterial small subunit ribosomal RNA", at positions 338 to 795 of the family's 1533-position model. The record is from RNAcentral.
CCUACGGGAGACAGCAGUGAGGAAUAUUGGUCAAUGGGCGGGAGCCUGAACCAGCCAAGUCGCGUGAGGGAAGACGGUCCUACGGAUUGUACACUUCUUUUAUAAAGGAAUAAAGUGAGGCACGUGUGCCUUUUUGUAUGUACUUUAUGAAUAAGGAUCGACUAACUCCGUGCCAGCAGCCGCGGUAAUACGGAGGAUCCGAGCGUUAUCCGGAUUUAUUGGGUUUAAAGGGAGCGUAGAUUGGUUGUUAAGUCAGUUGUGAAAGUUUGCGGCUCAACCGUAAAAUUGCAAUUGAUACUGGCAGUCUUGAGUACAGUUGAGGUAGGCGGAAUUCGUGGUGUAGCGGUGAAAUGCUUAGAUAUCACGAAGAACUCCGAUUGCGAAGGCAGCUUACUAAACUGCCACUGACAUUGAUGCUCGAAAGUGUGGGUAUCAAACAGGAUUAGAUACCCGAGUAGUC